GAUGGKGACUGCCAAUUAGGACAAGCAGACGUUAAAAAGCUCGUAGUCGGAGUUGUUCGGAUAGAGGAUAAAAUGACUUWAUGGAGGAAACUUCAURRGGUGACUCUUCCGAUUCAUUGGAUUAUGAAAGUGCGUUGGUUCGCCAGYGAUUACUUCUCUUCCACAUUUACUUUGAGGAAAUUAGAGUGUUUAUAGCAGUCGUCUUGACUGAAUAGUUYAGCAUGGGAUAAUAGAAUAUGGCAAUAUGUCUUUUCUAUGGUUCUUAAAGGCAAUUCAAAUUUUGCAAUGAUUAAUGGGAGUGGAUGGGGCUGCCAGUAUUGCUGAGCUAGAGGUGAAAUUCUAUGAUUUCAGCAGGACUAACAAAUGCGAAAGCAUCCAGCCAGUACAUGUCCGUCGAUCAAGAACGAAGGGAGUGGUAUCGAAGAUGAUCAGAUACCGUCGUAGUCACUCCAGUAAACGAUGAUAACUCAGGGUAAGGGRGAUGUAAAUUUAAAACUUGCACCUCUUUGAACUGUAUGAGAAAUCAAAGUAUCUAUAUUUCCGGGGGGAGUAUGGCCGCAAGACUGAAACUUAAAGGAAUUGACGGAAGGGCACCACAAGGCGUGGAACCUGCGGCUUAAUUUGACUCAACACGGGAAAACUUACCAGGUCCAGACAUAGUAAGGAUUGACAGGUUGAAAGAUCUUUCUUGAUUCUGUGGGUGGUGGUGCAUGGCCGUUCUUAGUUGGUGGAAUGAUUUGUCUGUUUAAUUACGAUAACGAACGAGAUGAUCAUGGAAAAAUAGGAUGAUUAAUCGAAAGAUUGAUACACUUCCUUCUCUUCCAGAUUAAUGGAUUAAAGCCAUUUGAAAUGAUCGCAAUAACAGGUCUGUGAUGCCCUUAGAUGUUCUGGGCUGCACGCGCGUUACAAUGGUGAUGUCAAUGAGUUUUGAGUGGAUUUACUUCAUUCUUGUGCUUUCUCGAAAGGGAUGGCUAAUCUUAUAUAAACAUCACCGUGCUGGGGAUAGAUGGUUGUAAUUAUCCGUCUUGAACCAGGAAUGCCUAGUAAUCGCAUGUCAUCAGCAUGCGAUGAUUACGUCCCUGCCCUUUGUACACACCGCCCGUCGCUCCUACCGAUUGGAUUGUCCGGUGAGAAUGGAGGAUUUUGGUAUUUUAUGAGCAAUCAUGGAGUAUUGGGAGAAUCCAUUCAAAUCUUAUAAUCUAGAGGAAGGAGAAGUCGUAACAAGGUCUCCGUAG
Molecule: ribosomal RNA, 1235 nt
Filed under: Amoebozoa sp. Pa17
Lineage: Eukaryota
Description: SSU rRNA
Rfam family: Eukaryotic small subunit ribosomal RNA
Source: RNAcentral